This 440-nucleotide ribosomal RNA is filed under the name uncultured bacterium. RNAcentral's name for it is "partial 16S ribosomal RNA". It matches the Rfam family "Bacterial small subunit ribosomal RNA", at positions 338 to 795 of the family's 1533-position model. The record is from RNAcentral.
CCUACGGGAGGCAGCAGUGGGGGAUAUUGCACAAUGGGGGAAACCCUGAUGCAGCGACGCCGCGUGGGUGAAGACGCGCCUCGGCGCGUAAAGCCCUGUCAGCCGGGAAGAAAAUGACGGUACCUGAAGAAGAAGCCCCGGCAAACUAAGUGCCAGCAGCCGCGGUAAUCCGGAGGGGGCACGCGUUAUCCGGAUUUACUGGGUGUAAAGGGGGCGCAGACGGGGAUGCAAGCCAGGAGGGAAAGCCAGGGGCCCAACCCCGGGACUGCUGUUGAAACUGCGUUGCUAGAGUGCAGGAGGGGCAGGCGGAAUGCCUGGUGUAGCGGUGAAAUGCGUAGAUAUCAGGAGGAACACCGGUUGCGAAGGCGGCCUGCUGGACUGCAACUGACGUUGAGGCCCGAAAGCGUGGGGAGCAAACAGGAUUAGAUACCCGGGUAGUC